This 497-nucleotide ribosomal RNA is filed under the name uncultured bacterium. RNAcentral describes it as "partial 16S ribosomal RNA". It matches the Rfam family "Bacterial small subunit ribosomal RNA", at positions 28 to 507 of the family's 1533-position model. The record is from RNAcentral.
GAUGAACGCUGGCGGCGUGCCUAAUACAUGCAAGUCGAGCGAACAGAUAAGGAGCUUGCUCCUUUGACGUUAGCGGCGGACGGGUGAGUAACACGUGGGUAACCUACCUAUAAGACUGGGAUAACUUCGGGAAACCGGAGCUAAUACCGGAUAAUAUUUCGAACCUCAUUGUUCGAUAGUGAAAGAUGGUUUUGCUAUCACUUAUAGAUGGACCCGCGCCGUAUUAGCUAGUUGGUAAGGUAACGGCUUACCAAGGCGACGAUACGUAGCCGACCUGAGAGGGUGAUCGGACACACUGGAACUGAGACACGGUCCAGACUCCUACGGGAGGCAGCAGUAGGGAAUCUUACGCAAGGGGCGAAAGCCUGACGGAGCAACGCCGCGUGAGUGAUGAAGGUCUUCGGAUCGUAAAACUCUGUUAGUAGGGAAGAACAUAAGUGUAAGUAACUGUGAACGUCUUGACGGUACCGAAUCAGAAAGCCACGGCUAACUACGUG